CACGGAGUUAGCCGGUGCUUCUUCUGCGGGUAACGUCAAUCGGUGAAGCUAUUAACUUCACCGCCUUCCUCCCCGCUGAAAGUACUUUACAACCCGAAGGCCUUCUUCAUACACGCGGCAUGGCUGCAUCAGGCUUGCGCCCAUUGUGCAAUAUUCCCCACUGCUGCCUCCCGUAGGAGUCUGGACCGUGUCUCAGUUCCAGUCGUGGCUGGUCACUCCUCUCAGACCAGCUAGGGAUCGUCGCCUAGGUGAGCCAUUACCCCACUACUAGCUAAUCCCAUCUGGCACAUCCGAUGGUGUGGAGGACCCGACGGUCCCCCUACGUUUGGUCUUGCGUACGUUAGUGCGUAUUAGCUUACCGUUUC
This 365-nucleotide ribosomal RNA is filed under the name uncultured Enterobacteriaceae bacterium. RNAcentral describes it as "partial 16S ribosomal RNA". The record is from RNAcentral. Lineage: Bacteria; Pseudomonadati; Pseudomonadota; Gammaproteobacteria; Enterobacterales; Enterobacteriaceae.